AUGAACGCUGGCGGCGUGCUUAACACAUGCAAGUCGAACGAAGCAUUUAAGACAGAUUACUUCGGUUCGAAGUCUUUUAUGACUGAGCGGCGGACGGGUGAGUAACGCGUGGGUAACCUGCCUCAUACAGGGGGAUAGCAGCUGGAAACGGCUGGUAAUACCGCAUAAGCGCACAGUACCACAUGGUACAGUGUGAAAAACUCCGGUGGUAUGAGAUGGACCCGCGUCUGAUUAGCUUGUUGGCGGGGUAACGGCCCACCAAGGCGACGAUCAGUAGCCGACCUGAGAGGGUGACCGGCCACAUUGGGACUGAGACACGGCCCAGACUCCUACGGGAGGCAGCAGUGGGGAAUAUUGCACAAUGGAGGAAACUCUGAUGCAGCGACGCCGCGUGAGUGAAGAAGUAGUUCGCUAUGUAAAGCUCUACCAGCAGGGAAGAUAGUGACGGUACCUGACUAAGAAGCUCCGGCUAAAUACGUG
This 480-nucleotide ribosomal RNA is filed under the name uncultured bacterium. RNAcentral's name for it is "partial 16S ribosomal RNA". It matches the Rfam family "Bacterial small subunit ribosomal RNA", at positions 29 to 507 of the family's 1533-position model. The record is from RNAcentral.